AUGGUGGUAACGGGUAACGGGGUGUUAGGGCACGACACCGGAGAGGGAGCCUGAGAAACGGCUACCACAUCCAAGGAUGGCAGCAGGCGCGCAAAUUACCCAAUCCCGACACGGGGAGGUAGUGACAAUAAAUAACAAUACGGGGUUCUUUAGGAUCUCGUAAUUGGAAUGAGUACAAUUUAAAUCUCUUAACGAGGAACAAUUGGAGGGCAAGUCUGGUGCCAGCAGCCGCGGUAAUUCCAGCUCCAAUAGCGUAUAUUAAAGUUGUUGCAGUUAAAAAGCUCGUAGUUGAAUUUCGGGGUUAGUAGGUUGGUCAUGCCUCUGGUAUGUACUGGUCUCACUGAUUCCUCCUUCCUUAUGAACCGUAAUGCCAUUAAUUUGGUGUUGCGGGGAAUUUGGACUGUUACUUUGAAAAAAUUAGAGUGUUUAAAGCAAGCUAACGCUUGAAUACAUUAGCAUGGAAUAAUGAAAUAGGACGUUCGAUCUUAUUUUGUUGGUUUCUAGGAUUGACGUAAUGAUUAAUAGGGAUAGUUGGGGGCAUUAGUAUUCAAUUGUCAGAGGUGAAAUUCUUGGAUUUAUUGAAGACUAACUACUGCGAAAGCAUUUGCCAAGGAUGUUUUCAUUAAUCAAGAACGAAAGUUAGGGGAUCGAAGACGAUCAGAUACCGUCGUAGUCUUAACCAUAAACUAUGCCGACUAGGGAUCGGAUGA
Molecule: ribosomal RNA, 710 nt
Filed under: uncultured fungus
Lineage: Eukaryota; Fungi
Description: SSU rRNA
Rfam family: Eukaryotic small subunit ribosomal RNA
Source: RNAcentral